AGUGAACGCUGGCGGUAGGCCUAACACAUGCAGGUCGAACGGCAGCACAGUAAGAGCUUGCUCUUACGGGUGGCGAGUGGCGGACGGGUGAGGAAUACAUCGGAAUCUACUUUUUCGUGGGGGAUAACGUAGGGAAACUUACGCUAAUACCGCAUACGACCUACGGGUGAAAGCAGUGGAUCUUCGUACCUUGCGCGAUUGAAUGAGCCGAGGUCGGAUUAGCUAGUUGGCGGGGUAAAGGCCCACCAAGGCGACGAUCCGUAGCUGGUCUGAGAGGAUGAUCAGCCACACUGGAACUGAGACACGGUCCAGACUCCUACGGGAGGCAGCAGUGGGGAAUAUUGGGCAAUGGGCGCAAGCCUGAUCCAGCCAUACCGCGUGGGUGAAGAAGGCCUUCGGGUUGUAAAGCCCUUUUGUUGGGAAAGAAAAGCAGCAGGUUAAUACCCAGCUGUUCUGACGGUACCCAAAGAAUAAGCACCGGCUAACUUCGUG
Molecule: ribosomal RNA, 492 nt
Filed under: uncultured bacterium
Lineage: Bacteria
Description: partial 16S ribosomal RNA
Rfam family: Bacterial small subunit ribosomal RNA
Source: RNAcentral